This is a long non-coding RNA of Folsomia candida, 598 nucleotides long. RefSeq lists it as uncharacterized. NCBI's taxonomy places the organism in Eukaryota, Metazoa, Arthropoda, Collembola, Entomobryomorpha, Isotomidae. The record is from RefSeq and is a predicted model, not a curated record. The transcript has 4 exons.
GCCGGCAAACAGCCUAAGUUGAGACUAGUCCUUCCAUUAGUUUUGAUACCCAGAUGAAACCCGUUGUGAUUGAAGCUACUAAUUUCGCUGCAGGUGUUGAAACAUAAGGACAUAUUCUACCACCAAAGCCUUCUUGUAGGAUUAGUGAGCCACCAACAACCUGGAGGUUACGACCCGGAUCCUUAACCAAUAAGAGUACGAUCCAAGCUCCUCAACCAGAAAGUCAAAAUGAGUCAUUAUAUGACAAUGCAUACCUGUUCCUGGAACCUCAAUGGCGACCAGUUCCUCCAGCAACUGACAGUCCAGAAUCAAUGAAGAUUUUCGAAGAACACAAAAAAUUUGCUAAACAGUACCUUCAAACCCGCAUUGAAAUAGAAUGUCUACUACAAGCAAAGGAAAAUUUGCAACGACUGCUACGCGAGCAGGAAAAAUACGGUCCUUUCGGUGGCGAACGGGACUCGCGCAUAAUUCUUAAGGAUUGGAGAGAAUUGAAGAGCGAAAAUGAAAUACUGGCCCAACAUCAUAGCGACUUAAAGAAUCAGCUAGAAAUGUUGAAAUUUCCGAAAUAAUCUAAUGGAGUAACAAUAAUUUGAAACGG